UUCUCAAGGAAAAGAGCUAAGGUAGGCUGCCAGAUAAAAUGCUGAGGUUUUAAGUGGAAGAUAUGUGAACACCCAGUGGGCUGGAUGGCUGUCCCUGCUACAAGUCUGUGAUGUCUCCGUCCAGUGGCAGAGCUGGAAGGCAGGUGAUCCAGAAUUACUCCCGAACUCUACCAGCUGAAAUCCUCCUCAACUCACAUCAGACAAGACGGCCCUGCCACUUACCUGUCAGAUCACUUUGGGCAGUUUACAGGAGAGAAGAUGCAGCCUGGGAGAGAUGCAGCAGGUGUCUGAGGCCACACAGCAAGUCACCCAGGGCCAGGAUCUGAAGCUGGGUCUCUCCAGCUCCACUGCCUGGGCACUUUCUCCUCCACAGCGACCUUCAGGUCAUCAUGAGGAGCCUUUCGGACUAAAGCUAGAGAGCUGGGAUUCCAACAGUUCAGCAACCCAUGACUUCUCCAUGGCAGCUGCUGCCUGACCACCUAGUGCCUUUCCACUAAGAUUGUUCCUUCCCUCUCCUGAAGAUUAUCCUCCUGCCCCUCUCUCCCAAACAUCUGCGGUGUGCACCUGCUGCCCAAAGUUGAACUUUUUUUUGUUAGAGACAGGGCCUCACUGUGUCAUCCAGGCUGGAGUGCAGUGGCGUGAUCAUAGCUCACUGCAGCCUCCAACUCCUGGGCUCAAGUGACCCUCUCACCUCAGCUUCCUGAGUAGCUGGGACUACAGGCAUGCACCACCACGCCUGGCUAAUUUUUAAAUUUUUUGCAGAGACAGGGUCUAGCUAUGUUGCCCACCCUGGUCUUGAACUCCUGGGCUCAAGCAAUCUGUCUGCCUUGGUCUCCCAGCUCGCUGGGAUUACAGGCAUGAAUCACCAUGCCCGGUCCUCCAAAGUUGAACUUUUGAGACUCAGUUUCCUUCUUGGUAAAUUCAGGCUCCUAGGUGCUACCUCCUCAGAGACAUCCUCCUUGACCACAUCACAUGACCUCUCGCAGAGGCCAGAUUCUUUAAUGUAUUCAUUUGUCUAUUAUCAUGUUUCCCCAGUAGAAGUUGCACAAACGGCA
RNAcentral lists this long non-coding RNA (1055 nucleotides) under Homo sapiens (human). RNAcentral describes it as "HSALNT0389970". Lineage: Eukaryota; Metazoa; Chordata; Mammalia; Primates; Hominidae. The record is from RNAcentral.